Molecule: long non-coding RNA, 529 nt
Organism: Alexandromys fortis (reed vole)
Lineage: Eukaryota; Metazoa; Chordata; Mammalia; Rodentia; Cricetidae
Exons: 4
Source: RefSeq, a predicted model, not a curated record
GUUCCUAUGCCAGUGGCUGCGUCAUAGAUCCUGGCCUUUGUCAGGCAGUGCCCAUGGCCUCCCUGUACCAGACAGCACCUCUGGAUGAGAGCCCUGAUGGAUGGUGUCUUCAUACACAGUGCCUGCUGCCUCCUGCUGCAGUUAAGAAACCAGCAAGCACAGGAUUGCAGGAAGAAAUGAGGAAUCAAAAGAUAAAGGUGACCGUUCACGCCAGACCUGAGAGAAGCUCACGACAACUGAUGCGCCAUCCCCACCCUCAUGUAGAGGCAAGGUCUUAUGUCCCAGGCCUGACUCAGAGCUGCUGUGGAGCUGAAGGUGACCUUGACCAUCUUUCUGAUCCGGUUUCCUCCACCCCAUGAGCACGAGGAUUACAGACUGAAGACAGCCAGCCUCUGCCUGUCCCCUGCACCCUCACUACACUCUGCACACUCCCCAGGGCAAGCAUUCAUAUCCUGUGGACCUAGUAAAAGGUAACUUGAUCCCAAAAUGCACUUCGUGUAGAGCACAGGCCUUGUCCUUUGACUUGCAA